RNAcentral lists this ribosomal RNA (1060 nucleotides) under uncultured beta proteobacterium. RNAcentral describes it as "bacterial SSU rRNA". It matches the Rfam family "Bacterial small subunit ribosomal RNA", at positions 8 to 965 of the family's 1533-position model. Lineage: Bacteria; Pseudomonadati; Pseudomonadota; Betaproteobacteria. The record is from RNAcentral.
AGAGUUUGAUCCUGGCUCAGAUUGAACGCUGAUGCCUUACACUGCAAGUCGAACGGUAACAGGUCUUCGGAUGCUGACGAGUGGCGAACGGGUGAGUAAUACAUCGGAACGUGCCCGAUCGUGGGGGAUAACGAAGCGAAAGCUUUGCUAAUACCGCAUACGAUCUACGGAUGAAAGCAGGGGACCAAGGCCUUGCGCGAACGGAGCGGCCGAUGGCAGAUUAGGUAGUUGGUGGGAUAAAAGCUUACCAAGCCGACGAUCUGUAGCUGGUCUGAGAGGACGGCCAGCCACACUGGGACUGCUUACCAAGCCGACGAUCUGUAGCUGGUCUGAGAGGACGGCCAGCCACACUGGGACUGCUUACCAAGCCGACGAUCUGUAGCUGGUCUGAGAGGACGGCCAGCCACACUGGGACUGAACACGGCCCAGACUCCUACGGGAGGCAGCAGUGGGGAAUUUUGGACAAUGGGCGAAAGCCUGAUCCAGCCAUGCCGCGUGCAGGAUGAAGGCCUUCGGGUUGUAAACUGCUUUUGUACGGAACGAAAAGACUCUGGUUAAUACCUGGGGUCCAUGACGGUACCGUAAGAAUAAGCACCGGCUAACUACGUGCCAGCAGCCGCGGUAAUACGUAGGGUGCAAGCGUUAAUCGGAAUUACUGGGCGUAAAGCGUGCGCAGGCGGUUAUAUAAGACAGAUGUGAAAUCCCCGGGCUCAACCUGGGAACUGCAUUUGUGACUGUAUAGCUAGAGUACGGCAGAGGGGGAUGGAAUUCCGCGUGUAGCAGUGAAAUGCGUAGAUAUGCGGAGGAACACCGAUGGCGAAAGGCAAUCCCCUGGGCCUGUACUGACGCUCAUGCACGAAAGCGUGGGGAGCAAACAGGAUUAGAUACCCUGCUAGUCCACGCCCUAAACGAUGUCAACUGGUUGUUGGGUCUUCACUGACUCAGUAACGAAGCUAACGCGUGAAGUUGACCGCCUGGGGAGUACGGCCGCAAGGUGAAACUCAAAGGAAUUGACGGGGACCCGCACAAGCGUGAUGAUGUGUUUAUCGAUGCACGCGAA